RNAcentral lists this ribosomal RNA (433 nucleotides) under uncultured bacterium. RNAcentral describes it as "partial 16S ribosomal RNA". It matches the Rfam family "Bacterial small subunit ribosomal RNA", at positions 29 to 507 of the family's 1533-position model. The record is from RNAcentral.
AACGAACGCUGGCGGCAUGCCUAACACAUGCAAGUCGAACGAGAACUUCGGGACUUGUGUCGCACACGGGCGUAUCACGUGGGGAUACGUACCCUUCUUCGGGAUAACAGUUAGAAAUGCCUGCUCAUAUCGCAGGAUCUCGCAAGUCCAAAGAUUUAUCGUCCAAGGAUGAGCCCGCGUAGGAUUAGGUCGUUGGUGGGGUAAAGGCCUACCAAGCCGACGAUCCGUAGCUGGUCUGAGAGGAUGAUCAGCCACACUGGGACUGAGACACGGCCCAGACUCCUACGGGAGGCAGCAGUGGGGAAUAUUGGACAAUGGGCGAAAGCCUGAUCCAGCCAUGCCGCGUGAGUGAUGAAGGCCUUAGGGUUGUAAAGCUCUUUUGUCAGGGACGAUAAUGACGGUACCGGAAGAAUAAGCCCCGGCUAACUCCGUG